UUUGAUUAUUGAGGAAAAAAAAAAGAAUAAACUUCCUUCUGUCAUCUAUUUACAGGAACGCCGUCUUCCGCUCUCGAGUGUGUAGACACAGAAGUGUUAUCAAUAUCAGCAGACAGCCCACCCUCUACAGAACAAUGUCUGAGGUUUCUUACAAUGGCAGCCUGCUUAUUUGAAAAGGAAACCACUAAUUACAAACAAAUUAAAAGUGUGCUUUCCAUUGUUGGAAAUAAAGUUAAUGAUAUCUUAAGAAGUGGCGUUUUAAGGAACUGCACUUUCAACGUUCAAAAAGAAAUAGUUUUAAUUCAAGAACUUCGUAAUUCCACUUGCCAACAGCUUCAGACACAAGAGGAGGAUGAGCCACUCUGCACGGGGCACGGAUAUGGGCUCGUUAGAUGUAGCAAAGGUGGUGCCUUAUCAAUGAGAGCCAGGCCUUUAGAAUUCCUGUCAUUCCUUUUAUUUCUUGUGGUUUUAUUUUUUGACAUUCCAUCAGAUUAUUUACCGGAUUUCUCUCAAGAUCGGCGAAAUUUUGUAAAACAAAAAAAGUGAUGUCAGCAAAUAAGAUAAUAUAAUUUAUCAUAUUUCAAAAGACAGACAUUUCAACUCCUGAUUGCAACUGUGAUAUUAUAAUGGGUUUGUAGAUAACGAACAGUUAGCAAGCUAAAAAGUUCAUUGAAACAAUACAAAUCGGGAGCAGGGCAAACACUGACCACUCAAACAUCAGAGGGGGAUCAGGUGCCAAUAGGGAGUAAGCAUUCCCUUCCAACUGGUCACACUCACAAUAUGCUCCUUGUAAUGAUUGGGCAAACGGAUUAUCUUCAGAAAUUCCAGCGUGUAAUAAUGGACAAUUGAUUUCUAUUAAAAACUUCAGUCAACAUUCGAUCCAACGAUGUAUUGCAUUUAAUAACAAAGACAUUAUAUUGACGAUACCUUUUGUAAAGGCAAAACUGAUGAUAUUGUUGUGUCUUCAACCUAGUUUUAAUAGAUUGCCUCGUCUUGGAAAGUUUUUA
Long non-coding RNA from Saccostrea cuccullata (small rock oyster), 1007 nucleotides. RefSeq lists it as uncharacterized. The record is from RefSeq and is a predicted model, not a curated record. Lineage: Eukaryota; Metazoa; Mollusca; Bivalvia; Ostreida; Ostreidae. The transcript is spliced from 3 exons.